CUCUCCAAAAUAUACCCAAAAACCUAUCCAGAUCCAUAUAAAAGUACAUCAUGUAUGUUUUGUGGUUUUGUACUCAAAAGUACAUCAUGUAUGUUUUGUGGUGGUGUGUGGUGGGGUGUGGAGGUGGUGUAGUGGUGUGUGGAGGUGUGUGGUGGGGUGUGGAGGUGGUGUAGGGGGUGUGGAGGUGUGUAGUGGUGUGUGGAGGUGGUGUAGUGGUGUGUGGAGGUGGUGUAGUGGGGUGUGGAGGUGGUGUAGUGGUGUGUGGAGGUGUGUGGAGGUGGUGUAGUGGUGUGUGGAGGUGGUGUAGUGGUGUGUGGAGGCGUGUGGAGGUGUGUAGUGGUGUGUGGAGGUGUGUAGUGGUGUGUGGUGGUGUGUGGAGGUGGUGUAGUGGUGUGUGGAGGCGUGUGGAGGUGGUGUAGUGGUGUGUGGAGGCGGUGUGUGGAGGUGUGUAGUGGUGUGUGGAGGGUGUGGAGUGGUGUAGUGGUGUGUGGAGGUGGUGUGUGGAGGUGGUGUAGUGUGGAGGUGGUGUAGUGG
This is a long non-coding RNA of Clupea harengus (Atlantic herring), 534 nucleotides long. Lineage: Eukaryota; Metazoa; Chordata; Actinopteri; Clupeiformes; Clupeidae. The record is from Ensembl.